GGACUACCGGGGUUUCUAAUCCUGUUUGCUCCCCACGCUUUCGUGACUCAGCGUCAGUUUCAGUCCAGUAAGCCGCCUUCGCCACUGGUGUUCUUCCUAAUAUCUACGCAUUUCACCGCUACACUAGGAAUUCCGCUUACCUCUCCUGUACUCUAGCAAGGCAGUUUCUCAUGCACGCCCUCGGUUAAGCCGAGGGGUUCCACAUAUGACUUGCCAUGCCGCCUACUCACCCUUUACGCCCAGUAAUUCCGGAUAACGCUUGCCCCCUACGUAUUACCGCGGCUGCUGGCAC
Molecule: ribosomal RNA, 292 nt
Filed under: uncultured bacterium
Lineage: Bacteria
Description: partial 16S ribosomal RNA
Source: RNAcentral